Araneus ventricosus is the source of this 74-nucleotide non-coding RNA. Lineage: Eukaryota; Metazoa; Arthropoda; Arachnida; Araneae; Araneidae. The record is from the annotation of a GenBank genome assembly.
GGGCCAGUGGCGCAACGGAUAACGGGCCUACUACGGUCAGGAGGAUUCCCAGGUUCGAGUCCCUGGCUGGCCUG